GCCGGGGAAAACCGGGGAUAAAACCGGGAUAAAACCCUUUUUACCCCCAUGGGUGGAAAUCGAAAGGCCGCUUCGGCUGUCACUUAUGGAUAGACCCGCGUCGCAUUAGCUAGUUGGUGAGGGAAAGGCUCACCAAGGCAACGAUGCGUAGCCGACUUGAGAGGGUGAUCGGCCACACUGGGACUGAGACACGGCCCAGACUCCUACGGGAGGCAGCAGUAGGGAAUCUUCCGCAAUGGACGAAAGUCUGACGGAGCAACGCCGCGUGAGUGAUGAAGGCUUUCGGGUCGUAAAACUCUGUUGUUAGGGAAGAACAAUUUCUAGUUGAAUAAGCUGGCACCUUGACGGUACCUAACCAGAAAGCCACGGCUAACUUCGUGCCAGCAGCCGCGGUAAUACGUAGGUGGCAAGCGUUAUCUGGAAUUAUUGGGCGUAAAGCGCGCGCAGGUGGUUUUUUAAGUUUGAUGUGAAAGCCCCCGGCUCAACCGUGGAGGGUCAUUGGAAACUGGGAGACUUGAGUGCAGAAGAGGAAAGUGGAAUUCCAUGUGUAGCGGUGAAAUGCGUAGAGAUAUGGAGGAACACCAGUGGCGAAGGCGACUUUUUGGUCUGUAAUACUGACGCUGAGGUCGCGAAAGCAGUGGGGAGCAAACAGGAUUAGAUACCCUGGUAGUCCAUGCCGUAAACGAUGUGUGCUAAGCUGUUAGAGGGCCUUUGCGCGCUUUUGUGGCUGAAGUUACGCGAUAAGUAGACUCGCCUGGGGAGUACGGUCGCAAGACUAAAAACCCAAUGAAAUGGCGGGGGCCCCCACAAGCGGGGGAACAUGGGGUUUAAUUUCAUGCCACCCGAAAAAACUUUCCUGGGUCUGGACUUCCUAGAACUUUCCAAAGAUGGGUUGGUGCCCUUCGGAACUUAAAUGACGGGGGUGGCUGGGUUGUCUCCGCUUCGGGUCGGGAAAGGUGGGGUAAAGUCCCCGCACCAAGCGCAACCCCUUUUCCUUUACUUGGCCAUCAUUUUAGGAUGGGAACUUUUAAGGAUACUGCCGGUGACAAACCUGGAGGGAAGGGGGGGGACGAACGUCAAAGUCAUCAUGCCCCUUUACGACCAGGGCUACACACGUGCUACAAUGGAUCGGUACAAAGAGGUUGCAUACACUAGCGAUGUGGAUGCUAAUCUCAAAAAAGCCGAUCUGUAGUUCCGGAUUGUGAGUCUGCAACUCGCACUACCAUGAAGCUCGGAAAUCGCUAGUAAUCGCGGAUCAGCAAUGCCGCGGUGAAAUACGUUCCCGGGCCUUGUACACACCGCCCGUCACACCAUGAGGAGUUUGUAAGCACCAGAGAUAGGGGGGUGGGUCUAACCGUUAUUGGAGGACGCUCACCACGGGUGUGGACAGAUGACUGGGG
This 1400-nucleotide ribosomal RNA is filed under the name Bacillus tropicus. Its description in RNAcentral is "bacterial SSU rRNA". It matches the Rfam family "Bacterial small subunit ribosomal RNA", at positions 136 to 1480 of the family's 1533-position model. Lineage: Bacteria; Bacillati; Bacillota; Bacilli; Caryophanales; Bacillaceae. The record is from RNAcentral.